UACGAAGGGGGGCUAGCGUUGUUCGGAAUUACUGGGCGUAAAGCGCACGUAGGCGGACAUUUAAGUCAGGGGUGAAAUCCCGGGGCUCAACCCCGGAACUGCCUUUGAUACUGGGUGUCUUGAGUCCGGAAGAGGUGAGUGGAAUUCCGAGUGUAGAGGUGAAAUUCGUAGAUAUUCGGAGGAACACCAGUGGCGAAGGCGGCUCACUGGUCCGGUACUGACGCUGAGACGCGAAAGCGUGGGGAGCGAACAGG
Molecule: ribosomal RNA, 254 nt
Filed under: uncultured bacterium
Lineage: Bacteria
Description: partial 16S ribosomal RNA
Rfam family: Bacterial small subunit ribosomal RNA
Source: RNAcentral